GGGUCGUUAGCUCAGUUGGUAGAGCAUCGGACUUUUAAUCCGCUGGUCGAUGGUUCGAAUCCAUCACGACCCACCA
Molecule: transfer RNA, 76 nt
Filed under: Lysobacter sp.
Lineage: Bacteria; Pseudomonadati; Pseudomonadota; Gammaproteobacteria; Lysobacterales; Lysobacteraceae
Also listed under: 12 other names
Description: tRNA-Lys
Rfam family: tRNA
About the family: Transfer RNA (tRNA) molecules are approximately 80 nucleotides in length.
Source: RNAcentral